Amphimedon queenslandica is the source of this 753-nucleotide long non-coding RNA. RefSeq lists it as uncharacterized. Lineage: Eukaryota; Metazoa; Porifera; Demospongiae; Haplosclerida; Niphatidae. The transcript has 9 exons. The record is from RefSeq and is a predicted model, not a curated record.
AGUUCCAAAUUAUUCCAGCUGCAAAUGGCUUCCUUCUCUUUGUCCUCCAUUACUGCCAGUCUAUUUUUUGGCCGUUUAGCUCUUAGUUUUGCCUCUGUAUUCUUUGAAAUCCCCAGAAAAUUAUCUCAUUUUCGAAGCCCGCUUCCAUGUCAGCAGCUAUUUCUGUGACUCUUCCUUCAGGCUGUCCCCUUAGGCUAUGAUUUGUGUCUAGACUGAUUGAACUACCAAUAGCUGUGUUCAAAAUGGAUCGCAUCCAUACAAGACUUGCUUAUUGAUUUUGUUUUGAUGUGUAUAGGUUUUAGCUUCUUUUCAAGUGAAUUGUAUCUGAUUACAUCAUUUUUUUGAUAUGGUUUUAACUUCUUUUUAAGUGUAUUGUGUCUCUGAGUGUACAAGACUGUAUCAUUUAAUUUUGUUCACAUGGAUGGUUAUGUUCAAAUGAAUUGUGUCUGAUUACAUGGCUUCCUUAUUGAAUAUUUUUUUGACAUGCUGUGCCUGAAUUUGUAUAGAAGACUUGUAUAUCAUGACAUAGCUACUGUUUGUAAUUAUAGUAAUGUUCAUUUGAAUGAUUUGUGCCUUGGCUGAUUCAAUACAAGACAAUUAAGACUUUGCUUUUUAGCUGUUACAAUUCCAAUGACACAGUGCAUGUUCAAGAAUGCAUGAAAGAAAGAACACAAACUGUAAACAUUAUUGUUAGAUCUAUAUAGUAUUUAUUUUAAAAAUAUUUUUGUUUGAACUAUUUAUCCACUGUGCAAA